RNAcentral lists this long non-coding RNA (299 nucleotides) under Vigna radiata. RNAcentral's name for it is "long non-coding RNA (VRAD_LNC009383)". The record is from RNAcentral. Lineage: Eukaryota; Viridiplantae; Streptophyta; Magnoliopsida; Fabales; Fabaceae.
UUGUAGAAAAUAAGGAUAAAAAAUACGAUAACUAUUCUUCGCACUUUUUCUCUUCUGUCACAUCCGUACUGGAGCGACCACAUUGCAGCGUGUUGCAUAACAGGAUUACGUUUCUUCUCUCAUUCAAAUAUUCUUUUUAGUAUUUUACUUUUUUUAGUAAUUUUUUUAUUUUAUUCUUUUUAUUUUCAAAUUCUAUUUUUCGUCCUUUAAACGUUUCAAACCAAUCAAUUUUAUUCGGUCUUCAUCAAACUCCUUAAUGAUUUUCCACGAACAUGUAAGAAUGAACUCUUUUGGAUAUC